GCCGUUGUAGCUCGGGUAGUAGAGCACCGUCUUGGUAAGACGGAGGUCAUGGGUGCAAGUCCCAUUAACGGCU
This 73-nucleotide transfer RNA is filed under the name Parcubacteria bacterium C7867-006. RNAcentral describes it as "tRNA-Thr". It matches the Rfam family "tRNA". From Rfam's summary of the family: Transfer RNA (tRNA) molecules are approximately 80 nucleotides in length. Their secondary structure includes four short double-helical elements and three loops (D, anti-codon, and T loops). Lineage: Bacteria; Candidatus Parcubacteria. The record is from RNAcentral.